UACGUAGGGUGCAAGCGUUAAUCGGAAUUACUGGGCGUAAAGCGUGCGCAGGCGGUUUUGUAAGUUUGUCGUGAAAGCCCCGGGCUUAACCUGGGAACUGCAUUUGAUACUCUGGAGCUUGAGUACGGGAGAGGAUAGUGGAAUUCCCAGUGUAGAGGUGAAAUUCGUAGAUAUUGGGAAGAACACCCGUGGCGAAGGCGGCUCUCUGGGACGGUACUGACGCUGAGACGCGAAAGCGUGGGGAGCGAACAGG
RNAcentral lists this ribosomal RNA (253 nucleotides) under uncultured bacterium. RNAcentral describes it as "partial 16S ribosomal RNA". It matches the Rfam family "Bacterial small subunit ribosomal RNA", at positions 524 to 776 of the family's 1533-position model. The record is from RNAcentral.